CCAGACUGGGGUUAAGGACCCAAAGUGCUGGCUAAGUGAUAAAUCAAAGGGCGUCGUAAUCCUAAAACAGCGGGGAGGUAGGCUUAGAGGCAGCCAACCUUUAAAGAAAGCGUAACAGCUCACCCGCCGAGGAUUGGGGCCCCGAAGAUGGACGGGUCUAAAGCCAGCCUCCGAUACCCCAGAGGUGCAUUUCAUAAUGCACUCCAGUAGGAGGGCGUCCCGAUUGGGCCGAAGCAGGGCCGUGAGGUCCUGUGGACCGGUCGGGAUUGCAGAUCCCGGCGGUAGUAGCAGCAGAGUCGGGUGAGAAUCCCGAUCGCCGAAAGGGCAAGGGUUUCCAGGCAAUGCGUCGUCAGCCUGGAGUUAGUCGGUCCUAAGGCCNNNNNNNNNNGCCGAAAGGGGAACUGGUUAAUAUUCCAGUACUGUGGAGGUACACGUGGCAACACAAAGCCUCACACGUGACGCUUCGGGGUAGGUCGAACAGGGUUGUCGCCCUGUUUAACUGUCAAAGCCUGGGGAGUACCGUAAUGGUGAGAACCAGGCGAAACCAGGAAUAGCCCCCCGUUUAGGGGGGUUCGAUCGAUCCCUGGAGCCCAUGAAAAGCGUGUGAGGAUGGAUCCUCCGCAUCCGUACCCAGAACCAACACAGGUGC
This 649-nucleotide ribosomal RNA is filed under the name Candidatus Poseidoniia archaeon. Its description in RNAcentral is "partial 23S ribosomal RNA". It matches the Rfam family "Archaeal large subunit ribosomal RNA", at positions 1109 to 1760 of the family's 2987-position model. The record is from RNAcentral. Lineage: Archaea; Methanobacteriati; Thermoplasmatota; Candidatus Poseidoniia.